UUUAAAGUCUAAUCUGCCCUAUGAGGGGUUAAAUGGCCGCGGUAUUUUGACCGUGCAAAGGUAGCAUAAUAAUUAGUUUUUUAAUUGAAAGCUGGAAUGAAUGAUUGGACGAGAAAAUAACUGUCUCAAGUUAAAUUUUAUUAGAAAUUUAUUUUUAAGUAAAAAAGCUUAAAUUUUGUUAAAAGACGAGAAGACCCUAUAGAGUUUUAUAUUUUAUUUUAAAUUAAUUUUUUAGAAUUUUUAUAUUAGUUUAAUAUAAAUUAUUUUAUUGGGGUGAUAGAAAAAUUUAAUUAACUUUUUUUUUAUUAUUUACAUUUAUUUAUGAUUUUAUGAUCCAUUAUUAUGAUUAUAAGAUUAAGUUACCUUAGGGAUAACAGCGUAAUUUUUUUUUAGAGUUCUUAUCGAAAGAAAAGUUUGCGACCUCGAUGUUGGAUUAAAAUUUAUGUUAGGUGUAGAAGCUUAAUUAUUAGGUCUGUUCGACCUUUAAAAUUUUACA
Molecule: ribosomal RNA, 496 nt
Filed under: Maladera sp. 839479
Lineage: Eukaryota; Metazoa; Arthropoda; Insecta; Coleoptera; Scarabaeidae
Also listed under: 1 other name
Description: partial 16S large subunit ribosomal RNA
Rfam family: Bacterial large subunit ribosomal RNA
Source: RNAcentral